AUGAUGAUGAGGAGGAGGAAGAUGAAGUCAGGAGUGUUGUCAGAGCAUGAUUGUCUCACUGGGAACUCAUCAUAAAACAUUAGCACAAUUAAUCAAAUUCAUUAGCUGAGUGAGUGAAAGAGAGAUGUAUAAUUCUAAUUCAGUAAGAAUGUCCUGAGAUUUGGGAGCAUUAGGCUAAAUAGUAAAAUUUAAUGCAGGAAUUAAUCUCUGCACUCCCUGCCAGUGUUUAAUAUUUCUUUUGUUAAGUCUAUAUAAUUGAGCACAAAGGGAACACAAUCUGGACUUUCAUUCUCCAAACCAACCAAAAAAGGCGAUAAUCUAACAAUCCCUCACCCAACCUGAUUUGGCGCUCUUCAGAACAAGUCACCUCGUUCGAAAUGGGAGGCGCUCGGCUAACUAACGGUUGCAAUCCGGAACUUAAAACAGUCAGAAGAGGGCAAAGUUCAAAUUGCUUGUGCCGGACUACUUGGAAUUCGCCCACCCGCUGUAAGUUGGGAAAGGCACGAGAUCGCUUAAAGAGGUGGAAACUGCAAAUUCGCUUGCGAAACACUUGCAAGGCGGCCUUCGUUUUUCCACGUGUAUUGUCUAUACUUUCAAGACCCGGGGUGGGGUUUGGUUUAUGUCACACGUCUGCAGAUCUCCUGAAAGAUGUUGGGGAACCGAUUAAAAUUAUUUAAUAAUUCUUGCCCCAAGUCCCAUCAGAUUUUCGAGAAGCGUAGAGGAACAGCAAAAAAGACUACAGCGGAAUUAUGUGAUCAUGAAAGGCCACUAUGCUACUAUUGUACUACCGUAGUUUCUAGGAAAGCAGCUGGAUCCUAAUCAUGCUCUCUUAAAAAACCAGCAAAUCAUCCACCGGAUUAUGUUGUGCCGUGUUUCUUUCCAUCAAGGUUUUACACUCGUUUUGCAAUGUGUUCUGAUUUUUAAAAUUGCGAAGCGAUUCAAACAGGAUCGCUGAUAGAUUAAUCCAUUUUCUCAAGAGGGGCAGAAUGUCAUAUGCCACCUCAAUACUCCACUACUACACUUCAAGAACUUCUUUCGAGGCCAGCCUGACAUAGACUCUGAGGGUCAGAUGGCAGGGGUGAAAGUUCAUUGUUCCUUUCUAAGUGCAGUCUCAAGGUCAACUGUUUCAGAACAAAGUGCAGCUACAUUCUUCAGGAGGCCACUCUAAAAGCAUCUCAUUUAAAUUUGAUUAGACAUAAGGAGACUAACUAUGGGAAGCACUUUUGGGAGGGAAAAGUUACACUUGGGAUUUCGGUGCGUGAAUUUCAGUUCCAGCGUUGCACUACUGUAUUUCACUUGGCUUCUAGUACACUAUAUGUUUCUCAACCUAAUGGUGUUAAGGAUCAUUUUUACAAAGCAGGUCUUCUUGUUCUUUCUGAAAAUUUGCUUCAGAUUGGGUAGUUGUCUGUAUGUAAUUAGGGAACUAUCACCCAGUGACUGAUAAAAUGCAUUGGCAUUCAGUAUCAAUUAAUCUAUCAAAUUGCAUCAUGAUUUCAACAACUUUCAUUUCACCAUCAACCUCAGCCUAGAUCUACUGUAUCUACACUUCCUUUGUGUCAUCAAAAAACUACACAAUAAACACAAAUACCUUUAGAGAUUACCUCAAUAGGCAGCUUGGAUGAUAGAAUGUGGCUGAAAUAGGCAGCCCAUCUGCCCACACCUAUAGACAGCUCUCACCAUUUGAAGAGGAUAUGAGCAGUAGAGCAAGAGAGCAAUAAUAAGCAAGAGAGCAAGUCAAUGUAAGAGAUGGAUAAGUGAAGUCGAUGUAGUGUGUUUUUUUGACAGUGGCUACAUGGUGCUAGGUGGAUAUAAGAUAAAAAA
Crotalus tigris (Tiger rattlesnake) is the source of this 1821-nucleotide long non-coding RNA. RefSeq lists it as uncharacterized. The record is from RefSeq and is a predicted model, not a curated record. The transcript is spliced from 2 exons. NCBI's taxonomy places the organism in Eukaryota, Metazoa, Chordata, Lepidosauria, Squamata, Viperidae.